CAGAGGUCCCAAGCGUUGUUCGGAUUCACUGGGCGUAAAGGGUGCGUAGGUGGUUGGGUAAGUCUGAUGUGAAAUCUCCGGGCUCAACCCGGAAAUGGCAUUGGAUACUAUUCGGCUAGAGGUUUGGAGGGGGACUGGAAUUCUCGGUGUAGCAGUGAAAUGCGUAGAUAUCGAGAGGAACACCAGUGGCGAAGGCGAGUCCCUGGACAACACCUGACACUGAGGCACGAAAGCUAGGGGAGCAAACAGGAUUAGAUACCCUGGUAGUCCUAGCCGUAAACGGUGCUUGCUUGCUGUAGAAGGAAUCGACCCCUUCUGUGGCGAAGCCAACGCGAUAAGCAAGCCGCCUGGGAAGUACGGUCGCAAGAUUA
Molecule: ribosomal RNA, 371 nt
Filed under: uncultured organism
Description: bacterial SSU rRNA
Rfam family: Bacterial small subunit ribosomal RNA
Source: RNAcentral